CCUACGGGGGGCAGCAGUGGGGAAUUUUCCGCAAUGGGGGAAACCCUGAUGCAGCAACGCCGCGUGAGUGAAGAAGUACUUCGUUAGGUAAAGCUCUAUCAGCAGGGAAGAAAAUAAGGGUACCUAAGUAAGAACCCCCGGAUAACUACGUGCCAGCAGCCGCGGUAAUACGUAGGGGGCAAGCGUUAUCCGGAUUUACUGGGGGUAAAGGGAGCGUAGACGGCAGUGCAAGUCUGGAGUGAAAGCCGGGGGCUCAACCCCGGGACUGCUCUGGAAACUGGACGGCUGGAGUGCAGGAGAGGAAAGUGGAAUUCCUAGUGUAGCGGUGAAAUGCGUAGAUAUAAGGAGGAACACCAGUGGCGAAGGCGGCUUACUGGACUGUAACUGACGUUGAGGCUCGAAAGCGUGGGGAGCAAACAGGAUUAGAUACCCGGGUAGUC
This 440-nucleotide ribosomal RNA is filed under the name uncultured bacterium. RNAcentral's name for it is "partial 16S ribosomal RNA". It matches the Rfam family "Bacterial small subunit ribosomal RNA", at positions 338 to 795 of the family's 1533-position model. The record is from RNAcentral.